UAACAGUAACAACAAAGUUGAAACUGUCCCAGGACUUAAAGGCUCCUAUGUUUUAGUCCUCUGCACUACACGGAGAGGGUAUGUACCUCGAUGGUGUCAGCUUAUAAACAACACGAGAUACGGGAAGGGAGUUAAUUAUUACACUUUGCACCUUACGACUAAUAUGAAACUUCACACAGAAAUGAGCAGAAUCCUUAUAACCACGCCUCGUGGUGUGUUCAGGUGGCUGGGAAUA
Cryptotermes secundus is the source of this 235-nucleotide long non-coding RNA. RefSeq lists it as uncharacterized. The record is from RefSeq and is a predicted model, not a curated record. Lineage: Eukaryota; Metazoa; Arthropoda; Insecta; Blattodea; Kalotermitidae. The transcript is spliced from 3 exons.